GGGGGAAUAUUGGACAAUGGGCGCAAGCCUGAUCCAGCCAUGCCGCGUGAGUGAUGACGGCCUUAGGGUUGUAAAGCUCUUUCGCUCGGGACGAUAAUGACGGUACCGAGAUAAGAAGCCCCGGCUAACUUCGUGCCAGCAGCCGCGGUAAUACGAAGGGGGCUAGCGUUGUUCGGAAUUACUGGGCGUAAAGCGCGUGUAGGCGGGUCUUUAAGUCAGGGGUGAAAUGCCAAGGCUCAACCUUGGAACUGCCUUUGAUACUGGAGAUCUUGAGUCCGGGAGAGGUGAGUGGAAUUGCGAGUGUAGAGGUGAAAUUCGUAGAUAUUCGCAAGAACACCAGUGGCGAAGGCGGCUCACUGGCCCGGAACUGACGCUGAGACGCGAAAGCGUGGGGAGCAAACAGGAUUAGAUACCCUGGUAGUCCACGCUGUAAACGAUGGAUGCUAGCCGUUGGGGAGCUUGCUCUUCAGUGGCGCAGCUAACGCUUUAAGCAUCCCGCCUGGGGAGUACGGUCGCAAGA
RNAcentral lists this ribosomal RNA (520 nucleotides) under uncultured bacterium. Its description in RNAcentral is "bacterial SSU rRNA". It matches the Rfam family "Bacterial small subunit ribosomal RNA", at positions 355 to 893 of the family's 1533-position model. The record is from RNAcentral.